Molecule: ribosomal RNA, 250 nt
Filed under: uncultured bacterium
Lineage: Bacteria
Description: partial 16S ribosomal RNA
Rfam family: Bacterial small subunit ribosomal RNA
Source: RNAcentral
GACGGAGGAUGCAAGCGUUAUCCGGAAUGAUUGGGCGUAAAGCGUCCGCAGGUGGCACUUCAAGUCUGCUGUCAAAGACCGGGGCUUAACCCCAGAAAGGCAGUGGAAACUGAAGUGCUAGAGUGCAGUAGGGGUAGAGGGAAUUCCCGGUGUAGCGGUGAAAUGCGCAGAUAUCGGGAGGAACACCAGUAGCGAAGGCGGCUCGCUGGGCCAUUCCUGACGCUGAGACGCGAAAGCGUGGGGAGCAAAC